UGUGUGUUAGUGGAAGCGUCUGGAAAGGCGCGCGAUACAGGGUGACAGCCCCGUACACAAAAAUGCACAUGCUGUGAGCUCGAUGAGUAGGGCGGGACACGUGGUAUCCUGUCUGAAUAUGGGGGGACCAUCCUCCAAGGCUAAAUACUCCUGACUGACCGAUAGUGAACCAGUACCGUGAGGGAAAGGCGAAAAGAACCCCGGCGAGGGGAGUGAAAAAGAACCUGAAACCGUGUACGUACAAGCAGUGGGAGCACGCUUAGGCGUGUGACUGCGUACCUUUUGUAUAAUGGGUCAGCGACUUAUAUUCUGUAGCAAGGUUAACCGAAUAGGGGAGCCGAAGGGAAACCGAGUCUUAACUGGGCGUUAAGUUGCAGGGUAUAGACCCGAAACCCGGUGAUCUAGCCAUGGGCAGGUUGAAGGUUGGGUAACACUAACUGGAGGACCGAACCGACUAAUGUUGAAAAAUUAGCGGAUGACUUGUGGCUGGGGGUGAAAGGCCAAUCAAACCGGGAGAUAGCUGGUUCUCCCCGAAAGCUAUUUAGGUAGCGCCUCGUGAAUUCAUCUCCGGGGGUAGAGCACUGUUUCGGCAAGGGGGUCAUCCCGACUUACCAACCCGAUGCAAACUGCGAAUACCGGAGAAUGUUAUCACGGGAGACACACGGCGGGUGCUAACGUCCGUCGUGAAGAGGGAAACAACCCAGACCGCCAGCUAAGGUCCCAAAGUCAUGGUUAAGUGGGAAACGAUGUGGGAAGGCCCAGACAGCCAGGAUGUUGGCUUAGAAGCAGCCAUCAUUUAAAGAAAGCGUAAUAGCUCACUGGUCGAGUCGGCCUGCGCGGAAGAUGUAACGGGGCUAAACCAUGCACCGAAGCUGCGGCAGCGACGCUUAUGCGUUGUUGGGUAGGGGAGCGUUCUGUAAGCCUGCGAAGGUGUGCUGUGAGGCAUGCUGGAGGUAUCAGAAGUGCGAAUGCUGACAUAAGUAACGAUAAAGCGGGUGAAAAGCCCGCUCGCCGGAAGACCAAGGGUUCCUGUCCAACGUUAAUCGGGGCAGGGUGAGUCGACCCCUAAGGCGAGGCCGAAAGGCGUAGUCGAUGGGAAACAGGUUAAUAUUCCUGUACUUGGUGUUACUGCGAAGGGGGGACGGAGAAGGCUAUGUUGGCCGGGCGACGGUUGUCCCGGUUUAAGCGUGUAGGCUGGUUUUCCAGGCAAAUCCGGAAAAUCAAGGCUGAGGCGUGAUGACGAGGCACUACGGUGCUGAAGCAACAAAUGCCCUGCUUCCAGGAAAAG
RNAcentral lists this ribosomal RNA (1288 nucleotides) under Escherichia coli. RNAcentral's name for it is "partial 23S ribosomal RNA". It matches the Rfam family "Bacterial large subunit ribosomal RNA", at positions 323 to 1617 of the family's 2925-position model. The record is from RNAcentral. Lineage: Bacteria; Pseudomonadati; Pseudomonadota; Gammaproteobacteria; Enterobacterales; Enterobacteriaceae.